Molecule: ribosomal RNA, 506 nt
Filed under: uncultured bacterium
Lineage: Bacteria
Description: bacterial SSU rRNA
Rfam family: Bacterial small subunit ribosomal RNA
Source: RNAcentral
UAGUCCACGCCGUAAACGAUGUCUACUAGCCGUUGGGAGACUUGAUUUCUUAGUGGCGCAGCUAACGCACUAAGUAGACCGCCUGGGGAGUACGGCCGCAAGGUUAAAACUCGAAUGAAUUGACGGGGGCCCGCACAAGCGGUGGAGCAUGUGGUUUAAUUCGAUGCAACGCGAAGAACCUUACCAGGUCUUGACAUCCUGAAAACUUUCUAGAGAUAGAUUGGUGCCUUCGGGAAUUCAGUGACAGGUGCUGCAUGGCUGUCGUCAGCUCGUGUCGUGAGAUGUUGGGUUAAGUCCCGUAACGAGCGCAACCCUUGUCCUUAGUUGCCAGCACAUUAUGGUGGGAACUCUAAGGAGACUGCCGGUGACAAACCGGAGGAAGGUAAGGAUGACGUCAAGUCAGCAUGCCCCUUACGCUCUGGGCUACACACGUGCUACAAUGGUCGUGACAAAGAGUUGCUAGUCUGCGAAGGCAAGCCAAUCUCAUAAACGCGGCCUUAGUUCGG